UACAGAGGGUGCGAGCGUUAAUCGGAAUUACUGGGCGUAAAGCGUGCGCAGACGGUCAUGUAAGUCGGGUGUGAAAGCCCCGGGCUCAACCUGGGAAUUGCAUUCGAGACUGUGUGGCUAGGGUGCGGAAGAGGGAAGCGGAAUUUCCGGUGUAGCGGUGAAAUGCGUAGAUAUCGGAAGGAACACCAGUGGCGAAGGCGGCGUUCUGGACUGUCUCUGACACUGAAGAACGAAAGCCAGGGGAGCAAACGGG
This 253-nucleotide ribosomal RNA is filed under the name uncultured bacterium. RNAcentral's name for it is "partial 16S ribosomal RNA". It matches the Rfam family "Bacterial small subunit ribosomal RNA", at positions 524 to 776 of the family's 1533-position model. The record is from RNAcentral.